This 65-nucleotide transfer RNA is filed under the name Listeria monocytogenes. It matches the Rfam family "tRNA", at positions 5 to 66 of the family's 71-position model. From Rfam's summary of the family: Transfer RNA (tRNA) molecules are approximately 80 nucleotides in length. Their secondary structure includes four short double-helical elements and three loops (D, anti-codon, and T loops). RNAcentral also lists the same sequence under 1 other name. Lineage: Bacteria; Bacillati; Bacillota; Bacilli; Caryophanales; Listeriaceae. The record is from RNAcentral.
UUGUUAGCUCAGUUGGUAGAGCAGCUGACUCUUAAUCAGCGGGUCGGGGGUUCGAAACCCUCACA